GUCGAGGAUCUUUUGCAAUGGGCGCAAGCCUGACAAAGCGACGCUGCGUGGAGGAUGAAGGCCUUCGGGUCGUAAACUCCUGUCAUUCGGGAACAAUAUCCCGGCCAUGAAUAGUGGCUGGGCUUGAUGGUACCGGAAGAGGAAGCCACGGCUAACUCUGUGCCAGCAGCCGCGGUAAUACAGAGGUGGCGAGCGUUGUUCGGAUUUACUGGGCGUAAAGGGUGCGUAGGUGGCUCUGUGUGUCGGAUGUGAAAUCCCACGGCUCAACUGUGGAACUGCAUCGGAAACUACAGAGCUUGAGUGCAGGAGGGGAGAGCGGAAUUCUCAGUGUAGCGGUGAAAUGCGUUGAUAUUGAGAAGAACACCGGUGGCGAAGGCGGCUCUCUGGAAUGCAACUGACACUGAGGCACGAAAGCUGGGGGAGCAAACAGGAUUAGAAACCCCAGUAGUCC
RNAcentral lists this ribosomal RNA (451 nucleotides) under uncultured bacterium. RNAcentral's name for it is "bacterial SSU rRNA". It matches the Rfam family "Bacterial small subunit ribosomal RNA", at positions 354 to 796 of the family's 1533-position model. The record is from RNAcentral.